UCUGUUUGCGCGCGCUCGGCGUGUGGGCCCUGUGGCGGGCGCCGGGCGGGGAGGUCGCCUGCGCCGCCGACAUCGCAGCGACUCUCCGGCUGUGCUCUGCUCCACCACCCAACCACACUUUCGACGUACUCCAGGAGGAUUCAACCGGCUGUUACUGGAGCCCGCGCCGUGCUGCUCCCAUUUGACGACCACGCGACAAGAUGUUGGAAAGUCCUCUUUCAGCAGAAGGUUGCUAUACACUCGUGUAGGUUCAAGUCAGAUCAUUAUAGGGAUAUUUCCUAGAUCUAUCUGGAGGAUUUUUUUUAAGAAACAGUUGAUUGGUGAAUCUCUCUGUUAGUACGGAGAGAAUAGUCCAGAUAUGAAGGGACUUCAAUACUGUGGCUCAGGUCAAGCAACCGCAUCCACAGAACCUUAUCAUAAAAAGCACACUAAAGCACUUGCCCAGCAAAGGUUAGCUAUGCAUUGUCGAAAAUUUAUGUAAUGAAUAUGUUAUACGAUUAAAUUUCACAAACUACAGAUGACCAUACAUCUGAAACCAUGAGUAAAUCUAUAAUCUCUGGGCAUUCAAAUUUGAACCCAGUCACCUAUGUCAAGGGAAAGCUAAGCUAAACAUAAUCAGGUUAUUAAAUAUGCAUGCACUAACUUUUCUGAGAGUAAAACUCAUAUAAUAUUUCCUUGCAAAUAAGUGUAAAUAUGUGUUGGCAAUAGUAAGAGUUUAGUAGCCAAACGUUGUCCUUUUGAUGUUUCUGAACUUUAACAGGAGAUAUAUGCUCAAAGUACUUCGUGUAACAGGAAUGUAAUAAAUUAGCCUUGUUAGUGUUUAUGUAUUUGAUUUACAACUGUUCUUUCCAUGGGCAUUUGUUAGUUGGAUGUCUAUUGUUAAACAGAUGAGGUAUAAUGGAGCACAUGGAAAGUUUGCCAAAAAACACACUCA
This is a long non-coding RNA of Hordeum vulgare subsp. vulgare (domesticated barley), 934 nucleotides long. RefSeq lists it as uncharacterized. The record is from RefSeq and is a predicted model, not a curated record. Lineage: Eukaryota; Viridiplantae; Streptophyta; Magnoliopsida; Poales; Poaceae. The transcript has 4 exons.